UCUACGGAGGGCUGCAGUGGGGAAUAUUGGGCAAUGGGCGCAAGCCUGACCCAGCAACGCCGCGUGAAGGAAGAAGGCUUUCGGGUUGUAAACUUCUUUUGUCAGGGAAGAAGCAAGUGACGGUACCUGACGAAUAAGCCACGGCGAACUACGUGCCAGCAGCCGCGGUAAUACGUAGGUGGCAAGCGUUAUCCGGAUUGAUUGGGUGUAAAGGGCGUGUAGGCGGGAAGGCAAGUCAGUUGUGAAAACUUUGGGCUCAACCCAUAGACUGCAUUUGAAACUGGAUUUCUUGAGUGCUGGGGAGGCAAUCGGAAUUCCGUGUGUAGCGGUGAAAUGCGUAGAUAUACGGAGGAACACCAGUGGCGAAGGCGGAUUGCUGGACAGUAACUGACGCUGAGGCGCGAAAGCGUGGGGAGCAAACAGGAUUAGAUACCCUUGUAGUC
RNAcentral lists this ribosomal RNA (443 nucleotides) under uncultured bacterium. RNAcentral's name for it is "partial 16S ribosomal RNA". It matches the Rfam family "Bacterial small subunit ribosomal RNA", at positions 338 to 795 of the family's 1533-position model. The record is from RNAcentral.